This 541-nucleotide long non-coding RNA is filed under the name Homo sapiens (human). Its description in RNAcentral is "non-protein coding lnc-CYP3A43-1:3". The record is from RNAcentral. Lineage: Eukaryota; Metazoa; Chordata; Mammalia; Primates; Hominidae.
GCUCCUCCAAACAGCUAUAGAGACCCAGAAAUGCCUGUGGAAAGCUACAGAGGACUUGGGCAAGGCGUUAGAGCCGGACGUUGUGGUCCCUGGGGGAGCCAACCGGGGAGGUGCCUAUGAUCUUUCUUUCCAAGUUUGAGGGUUCAGGGCAAGCAGUUAAGAAGGGAAGAUGAACAUAAAGUAGGGAAGAGCAAAAAUGAGUUGGAACCUAAGACACGAGCUGGUCAUUCUUUCACUGUCUCCAACUUUAAAGAUAUGAGUAUCCUUGCUAGAGGAGCUGACACUUUUUGCCACAGGACUAGACACACACACAGCUCAGGAAUCAAAAAAGGUGAAGGAAGACUCAGGGAAAAGCUUCUGCCCCAUCCCAACAAGGUGAACCAGCUGAUUGGUGACAAAGUAGAUGAGCCGCAGUAGCACCUAGUGUCCCUGCACCACCGUUUCAAGUAUAAAACUGGAGGGAUGCUUCAGUUCUCCCCUUCAAGACUUACACAACCAUGUCUCUGUUGGGCUAUUCUAACCAGAAACAAAAGGAAAGGAA